UCCCGUGUGCGUUUAUUCACUUCCGAGAAAUCAUUCAUCAAAAGUUGCCACCACAUAGAUCCCAGUUCAGUCAAGGCAAUAGUAACCUACAAUGGUAACAAGUAAAAUUUUCUAGCACAACAACACCAAAAAAAAAUUUCCAAACCCUCAAAAAACGAAGGAAUUCCAAACACAUUUUACGUUUCCUGUAAACUAACAACCCCAUAACGAUCAGUGUUAUUGAUAAGAAAGCGUCAUACUCGUCAUGUUUAGUAGGGUCAAUGACGAUAGGAGCAAAUUUUCAAAUUUUCAUAAAAAUUCGGUUUUCAACACAACCCGUCACGUUUUUAUCACGCUCUUCCAAUUUUACAGCCUUUUACAUAAUCAAACUUCACAAUUGCAUGUAUAAACACAUACCUAUUUGACUUAAUCAACCAAACGUACUAGUAGCAGGUCGUCGUCAUGAACCAGAGAAUUCGUAAUUCAGAUCCAACUAAGCGAUGACUACUGUAUAAAUGAUGAAAAGACUCGGUCAACUGUCCAAACUGAAAUUUACAAACAGAAAAAUGGUUUUCGUCAAUUCAAUCGUUCAAAAAGUGCUCAAAGUAAACUUUUUAGCAAUUUCCUAAGUAGUUUCUUUCUUCUUAUGUUGUAAGUAAAGGGUAAGUUGUAAAUUCCUAGUGCCACACUUCCACCUGUUUCAAACAGAUGACGUCAUUGCAUCACUUUGCAUGAUUGAACUUAACCAAUCACGUGCGGGGCUCUGAAGAAGGGUAACAAGGAAAUGGGUCUGGAAUAAACCGAGCAAGACGAUACUUAAAGUACUGCUGUGUAGUUUUGUAUUUUGUGUUAUCGUAUCGUUAAGAAACGUAUCGAUAGUUUGGGGAAUGGGAAAGGAUGGACGGAAAGUAGGAUGUUAUUGGUAUAUCAUGGAGUGCGUGCUUUUUAAGCAAAUAUGAUGUUAGCAAUAUGUAGUAAAAAUGGUGAGUUUGUGUAUAGUGCCAUGAAUCUUAUUUCACUCUUAACUCAAGCUUAUUUUAUAUUAACCGAUGAAUGAAUAAAUAAUAUAUCUUUGAUGAAGCUAAAUCGUUGCGUGUAUUUCUGAUAUUAUGUUGUAUGUAGGUAAGUGUUUUAGGUUGGACUUCUGCGUGUUUGUAAGAUGUGUACGUACGCUGAGUAAUUAGCAAUGUAUGAAUAGAUCCAGCAGUUCCAGAAGACCUACGAAAAAAU
Non-coding RNA from Schizosaccharomyces pombe (fission yeast), 1209 nucleotides. The record is from the annotation of a GenBank genome assembly. Lineage: Eukaryota; Fungi; Ascomycota; Schizosaccharomycetes; Schizosaccharomycetales; Schizosaccharomycetaceae.